Non-coding RNA from Nicotiana tabacum (common tobacco), 3433 nucleotides. The record is from RefSeq and is a predicted model, not a curated record. NCBI's taxonomy places the organism in Eukaryota, Viridiplantae, Streptophyta, Magnoliopsida, Solanales, Solanaceae.
UGGGAACGGGUACUCAAUUCCCUCAUUUUUUCAGCUGAAAAUUUUACUGGCUCGCCAAGCUAAUUAGUGACAUAUCAUUUUCUUAUUUUUUAAAAUUUUUAACAUUACCAGCCUACCUCCCAAAGUCCCAAACGUAUCCCCAGUAUUGUAUCCAAAUGUACUCCCUCAUUGAUACAUCGGAGCUCCCUCGUCGAUUCACCCAGAAUCGCAUCUCUGAUCUUUUUGUUUUUCAUCUUUGCCGAGUUUAAUGGUCGAGUUUCAUCAAAUACCUCUUCAUUAGACCACCAUAAUCAUCAAACCCUAGAGUUUCCAAAGCCCAAAACCCCAAGGACAGUUCUGUCGGUCUUUCCGGCACUUCGCCGGCACUUCUACAAGGACAGUUGCUGCUUCAGCACUUCUCCCGCACUCCUUCCCCAAAUCACCAAAUUAAUUUAUUGUUAAGAGGUGGUAACCUUAGAUAUGUUGCUUCAUCUGGUGCAGUUUGCAGGUUGAAGCUGAAGAACAACCCGAGAUAUCUGUGUUGUACUCUAUUUUUUUGUUCCUUACUUUGUCUUCUUCAAGGUAACUCACAUGGGAAUUUGCUUUCCUUGUCCAUGUACUGUUUGUAUAUCUGCUUGUGUUUGUAAAUCUGAGAGAUGGAGUUAACAUGCAUAGACAAAGUUGAUGUUGACUCACAAACAUGCACUUGUGAUGUUAACCUUUUGCUAAUGAAUUCCUGAUUUUCAAUUCACAACUGGAUGUAUUUAGUUUAUAAUUCUUAGUUAUAAAAGGAUGAGUCUCUUUAUUCAAGUUAACCACCCUUCAUCUAUAGUAACUAAUUUUCUUGCUUUCCUUAUAGCAGAUACACUUAUGCUACUUGUUAAUUUGAUUCGAAGAUAACGGAGAAUUAUAGUCUUGGUCAAUGGUUGUCCAUUAGCUUCUAAUGUUAUCAACUGCCUUGUUGAAAGGUUGAGUAUUUGGUAGCACUAAUUUCUUAGGUGAUAUAUGUAAAAAUCCUAUUUUUGCAUUUGAAGUUGGGCAGGAUCAUUUGUUACAUAAAUAUAAUAGCUUUGAUGACAUAUUGAUAUUGAUAAAGUGAUUUACAACAGUUUCUUAUUGUCUUAUUAUAUUGAAGAUCUGAAUUUAAUGCACUUGUACCUUGCCUUUGCUUUUCAGUUAUGUUCUUUCUCACCUUUUCAACUUUAUUUUGCUAUCAAAGAACUUUUCUUCAAUGUUCUACAUGAAAUAUAUGAGAACCACAUAAAAAUUGAUUGUAUUGUUAACUUAAAUAUUUUUUGCUUUCACUCCUCAAUUAACCUCUCAUACUGGCACUGAUUGUAAUAUUUUGCUAAACUGUGAAUUCUGGAUCUAUUAGCUUUUUCAAAAGAUAGUGCAAAGGAUAAACCAUGAAUUUGUAACUUCUGUUAGUUGUUCUAUUUCCCAAGUGCAGGCAUUUCUUUGGAUUUAUUAAACUAAGACUCUAUGAUAAAUUUACAAACUUUUGCUUUCACUAUUUGGUUGAGGAGUUAAGUGAUCUGUUUGCAUUCAAGUCUUGAAGUCAAAUCAAACUUUUGCUUUUUCCAUUUUCUGCUUCUAAAGAAACUGAAGUGAUGAAAGUUUUUACUUCUAUGGUUCCAUUCAAAUAUAUCAAUUGAAUAAUUCAUUGCAAUUGAAAAAUUCUUGUUCAAGUUUCUUAGUUUUCUAAGUGCAGCUGAAUCUAAUAGAAAAGUUAUUUUGAAGAUGUGAUAAAAGCUACCACUGCUUCUGUGUCCAAUGACAAUUUUCUUUGAUCUUAUUUGAUCCAAGAUCCUAAAUAUUUACACUGCUGAUCAAAAAUGGAUAUAAGUUAAUUACCCAUAAUAAGACAUGAUAUACUAUGUUUGCUGCUUUUGCAAACGUAUAUUGUGUUUGCUUUUCAGAAUCUGAAAAAUAUUUGAAUAGUUAUGAAUCAAGAAGGGUUCUCAAGCAAAAAUAAGAAAAUAUCCAACCGCAUUACAACUGGAUCACUUGCAUCUUUGCGAAAUCAAAGGGUUUCGUCGUUGACAACAAAAAGAACCUUCCAACCUACAAGGUCAAAUGCAAAUGAAGAACGACAAUCAGAAGGUGGAUUAUUACCUUCAUCUUUGCGAACCAAAAGGUUUCGUCGUUGACAACAAAAACAGCCUUGAAAGCUCUAAGGUCAAAUACAAAUGAAGAACAACAAUCCAAAGGUAGAUCUCAAUUGCAAGAACAAGUGCAGCAAGUGCCACAGAAUUGCACCUCUUCAGCAACACAAGGAGUACAUGAACAAGUACAACAAGGGAAUAUGGAUUCCAUCACUCCUGCAUCACAGGGAGUACAUGAACGAUCUGAUGAUUCUACCUCUCAUGAAGCAGUUGAACAAUUUGAGGAAUAAGGCAAAUAUAUAUAAAUAUUCCAAUAUAUACUUGGAGAAAGUAUAAGAGUCAAUUGAAGACAACUCACUUCACAGCCUAUGAGAAUGAUGAGCUUCGAAUAGAGAAUAGGCUAGUAGAUAUUCCGAAAUCUCACUUUAAGGAUCUUCUUAAAUAUUGGAGCUCCGAUCCUCACAAGAAAAUGUCCGAAACCAAUACAGAGAAUCAAAAUAAGUUGAAGUGUCUGCAUACUGCUGUCAGAACACCUUUUGCUCUAAUUCGCGUGGAAAAAAAGAAGAAAAUCUCUGAUACUUCAGAUACUCUAUCAAGUAAGGACAUCUUUGUGGCUACAAGAAAAAGAAAACUUGACCGAGUAUACAAAAGCUCAUAUGACAAUACGAUUAGUAAAAUUGCUAAAAUGGAGUGAAUACAAUCAACUCAGGAAAGUGAAGAUGGUAGUCAUUCAGUUGACGCUUUUGCUUCAGCCAUGGGACCUCAGGUCGCGUGAGAUUGUAUGGACGAGGGGUUACCAAGACUUUGUUAAAAGGGCAAAAGGGAAAUCUUGAAUCUUCUUUAGAUGCUGAUGAGAGGAUGCAGCAGAAAAUAGAGAAAAUGGAAGAGAGGAUGCAACAAAGAAUGUAUGAAAAGUUUAAUGAACAAAAGGAUGCUAUAGAACAAAAUAUUACAAUGAACGUCAUUGCACGACUUCAGCGUCUGAACCCAGAUUUACGACUUGAUCCUGACAUGUUAAGGUUCGGUGCACGUUCACCUGUAGAUGCUUCCUCUGCACAACAAGUUGUUAUUCAACUAAACAAUCGACCAUCUACUGGUAGUAAUAAUCAAGGUGGAGUAGAUCAAGAAAUAGAUGAUGAAGACGAUGAAGAACUAGACCUUACUUGAAAUGAAUUCUGAAUUGUUAUAGAUGAAUGUUCUAGGAAUCUUUUGUUACCAACAUUUUUGAACUUAUUUACUCUCUUGAAAUGUACUAAACUUGUGCACUUGUGGGGUAGAACAUUUGCUUUAUGGAUAUUAUUUGUUUGAUGGAUAAUUUUGUAUUAAUAAUAGUUUUAUUUUAUGAUGUA